This 484-nucleotide ribosomal RNA is filed under the name uncultured bacterium. RNAcentral's name for it is "partial 16S ribosomal RNA". It matches the Rfam family "Bacterial small subunit ribosomal RNA", at positions 29 to 507 of the family's 1533-position model. The record is from RNAcentral.
AUUGAACGCUGGCGGAAUGCUUUACACAUGCAAGUCGAGCGGCAGCGCGGCCUUCGGGCUGGCGGCGAGCGGCGAACGGGUGAGUAAUGCAUCGGAACAUGCCCAGUCGUGGGGGAUAACACUUCGAAAGAAGUGCUAAUACCGCAUACGUCCUGCGGGGGAAAGCGGGGGAUCGCAAGACCUCGCGCGAUUGGAGUGGCCGAUGUCAGAUUAGCUAGUUGGUGGGGUAAAGGCCUACCAAGGCGACGAUCUGUAGCUGGUCUGAGAGGAUGAUCAGCCACACUAGGACGGAGACACGGCCCAGACUCCUACGGGAGGCAGCAGUGGGGAAUGGUGGACAGUGGGGGCAAACCUGAUCCAGCCAUCCCGCGUGAGUGAAGAAGGCCUUCGGGUUGUAAAGCUCUUUCGGCAGGAACGAAACGGUGGGCUCUAACAUAGUCCGCUAAUGACGGUACCUGAAGAAGAAGCACCGGCUAACUACGUG